GAAACUGCCUCAGGACCUUCCACCCCACUGGCUCCACUGGCCCCACAUGAGGGUGUGAGCAGCCGCGGCCGCUUUCCCGCCCCCGGAGCAAGGCCCCACACCACCCCACGGGUGGCAGAGCGAGAGGCCCUGCUCAGUUGAGAAGAAGCUGCCCUUUGAGACGGGAAGGCAAAAGGGAGAGUAGUGCGGCCCUGGAAAGCGGCGGAAAAGACCGCCAACAUUUUGUUUUUGUAGUGGAGCAUCUUCACCCAGCUUGAAGAACACCAGGGUUCCGGAGGAACACCUAGCAAUCUGGAAGAAGAUGUUAAAAACUUUAAGCAACUGCCAUAGUAAUCACAGUAAUGGAUCUCUGCCAGAAAAAUGAGACUGAGUUAGAAAAUAGUGAAAGUAAUGAAAUUCAAAGCACAGAAGAAGCUGAAUUAACCUAUACUUGUCCAGAGGAAAAAAACGAAAAGAAUCAUGUUUGUUGUCUUCUCAAUAUCAGUGACAUUACACUUGAACAAGAUGAAAAAGCCAACGAAUUUGUUAUUGGAACUGGAUGGGAAGAAGCAGUAAGUACCAUCUUGAGUUAGCUCCCUUACACAUCUGUGUUUUGAUGCAAGUCUUU
Molecule: long non-coding RNA, 607 nt
Organism: Hipposideros armiger (great roundleaf bat)
Lineage: Eukaryota; Metazoa; Chordata; Mammalia; Chiroptera; Hipposideridae
Exons: 3
Source: RefSeq, a predicted model, not a curated record